This 253-nucleotide ribosomal RNA is filed under the name uncultured bacterium. RNAcentral describes it as "partial 16S ribosomal RNA". It matches the Rfam family "Bacterial small subunit ribosomal RNA", at positions 524 to 776 of the family's 1533-position model. The record is from RNAcentral.
UACAGAGGUCCCAAGCGUUGUUCGGAUUUACUGGGCGUAAAGGGUGCGUAGGUGGUCGGGUAAGUCUCAUGUGAAAUCUCCAAGCUUAACUUGGAAAUGGCAUGGGAUACUAUUCGGCUAGAGGAUUGGAGGGGGGACUGGAAUUCCCGGUGUAGCAGUGAAAUGCGUAGAUAUCGGGAGGAACACCAGUGGCGAAGGCGAGUCCCUGGACAAUUCCUGACGCUGAGGCACGAAGGCCAGGGGAGCAAACGGU